AGAUCAGCAGCGUAACAUUAACCAGACAUCAGUCCCAAAUCAAUCUGGAGAAUCUCAACCAGAAAACUCUCCUCUACAGUCUGAUCCUGAUCACAUUUAUGAUGACGUGACUGAAGUGAAGAAGAGACACAAAGAUGAUCCAGAGUCAUUUUGGGAUGUCAUAUAUUCAGAGGUCACUGUUCAGAAAGAGAUAUCUGUGGAUAAAG
Molecule: long non-coding RNA, 206 nt
Organism: Onychostoma macrolepis
Lineage: Eukaryota; Metazoa; Chordata; Actinopteri; Cypriniformes; Cyprinidae
Exons: 3
Source: RefSeq, a predicted model, not a curated record